RNAcentral lists this long non-coding RNA (990 nucleotides) under Sparus aurata (gilthead seabream). RNAcentral describes it as "lncRNA (ENSSAUG00010020595.1)". The record is from RNAcentral. Lineage: Eukaryota; Metazoa; Chordata; Actinopteri; Spariformes; Sparidae.
GUAAGAAUGAAAAUAUGUUUUACACAAUGUGGGUGUACCAGGCAUUUAAAUUUUACCAAUGUGCUUUAUCGAGGCCCGUCUGGUAGUUUGAAGCUUGGAGCAUGCAGUCUGGAAAUGGUAAGUAUUUGUUGGUUGGCUUGUUUUGUUAUGUUUUGGAGUUUUGUUUCUAUAGUUUGCUUGUAUUUUAUACGGAUUUUUGCUUGUUGAUGGAUGUUGUCUUCUGUGUCAGGACUCCAGUGAUUGGACAAAACUUGAACCUAAAGUCAACACAGUGGAUGAGGUUCAUAUCUACAGCCUCCAGUCUGAAGCAGGUCACUUUGAGUGCAGCGUCUCUUCCCUGCGCUGGGUUUGUAAGAAGAAGGUCAGCUUCAAAUACCACUUCAGCUCAUGGGAUGAACACAGGGAGAAGCCUUCAUGUGUGGAUUACAUGCCAGCAGGACCACUACUGGACAUCACAGUCACAAGUGGAAAGAUGGAGGAAGUGCAUCUGCCACACUGGAUAGGUAAGUGGACAUACAAGUAUGAUGAAUAUUGUUUCUAUGAAUGAAUAAAGAAAUCAAUAAAAUAUUUUUUUCUCACUAAACACUGUAAGAUUAAUUUUGUUUUUGUUCUGUCUUUUCUUCAGAUCACAACUCCACAAUAUCGGACAUGUUUGCAGUCCUACAUGUGGAUACUUCUGGAGAUUUUGUGAAAAAAGCGCCUCAAGUGACAUCAUCCCACGUCAAGUUAUGCCAGCCGACUUUCUUUCCAGCAGGGGUCAUGAUCCGGGUGAAACUGGGCUUCCCAGUCAAGGUUCACUAUGAGGCGUUGAUACAUUACUUUGAGGUGUUCCUCAGAAAUGCAGACGGUGACUAUAACCUGAGACUUGACAGUGAGGGAAAGAAAAAAAGCAGAAGGGACACAGUCUGGACCUGCACUAUAAGAAAAGGUGAGUGUUUUCACAGCAGUUUUCAAUUAAUUCAUGUGCACACACCUUUUGUUUUUUGUAAA